GACAGAGGGCGCAAACGUUGUUCGGAUUUACUGGGCGUAAAGCGCGUGUAGGCGGCUUUGCAAGUCGGAUGUGAAAGCCCACGGCUCAACCGUGGAAGUGCAUCCGAAACUGCAUGGCUGGAGUCUCGGAGAGGAAGGUGGAAUGCUUGGUGUAGAGGUGAAGUUCGUAGAUAUCAAGCAGAACACCUGCGGCGAAGGCGGCCUUCUGGACGAUGACUGACGCUGAGACGCGAAAGCGUGGGGAGCAAACAGG
Molecule: ribosomal RNA, 253 nt
Filed under: uncultured bacterium
Lineage: Bacteria
Description: partial 16S ribosomal RNA
Rfam family: Bacterial small subunit ribosomal RNA
Source: RNAcentral